GACGAACGCUGGCGGCGUGCCUAAUACAUGCAAGUCGAACGAGAGCGACCGGUGCUUGCACUGGUCAAUCUAGUGGCGAACGGGUGAGUAACACGUGGGUAACCUGCCCAUCAGAGGGGGAUAACAUUCGGAAACGGAUGCUAAAACCGCAUAGGUCCUUUAACCGCAUGGUUGAAGGAGGAAAAGAGGCGCAAGCUUCUGCUGAUGGAUGGACCCGCGGUGCAUUAGCUAGUUGGUGAGGUAACGGCUCACCAAGGCCGUGAUGCAUAGCCGACCUGAGAGGGUGAUCGGCCACAUUGGGACUGAGACACGGCCCAAACUCCUACGGGAGGCAGCAGUAGGGAAUCUUCCGCAAUGGACGCAAGUCUGACGGAGCAACGCCGCGUGAGUGAAGAAGGUUUUCGGAUCGUAAAACUCUGUUGUUAGAGAAGAACAAGUGCUAGAGUAACUGUUAGCGCC
This 459-nucleotide ribosomal RNA is filed under the name Granulicatella adiacens. RNAcentral describes it as "bacterial SSU rRNA". It matches the Rfam family "Bacterial small subunit ribosomal RNA", at positions 28 to 476 of the family's 1533-position model. Lineage: Bacteria; Bacillati; Bacillota; Bacilli; Lactobacillales; Carnobacteriaceae. The record is from RNAcentral.